This 409-nucleotide ribosomal RNA is filed under the name uncultured Sphingobacteriales bacterium. RNAcentral's name for it is "bacterial SSU rRNA". It matches the Rfam family "Bacterial small subunit ribosomal RNA", at positions 973 to 1382 of the family's 1533-position model. Lineage: Bacteria; Pseudomonadati; Bacteroidota; Sphingobacteriia; Sphingobacteriales. The record is from RNAcentral.
ACCUGGGCUCGAACGUAAGAUGACUGUAGGUGAAAGCUUACAUCUCUUCGGAGCAUUUUACGUAGGUGCUGCAUGGUUGUCGUCAGCUCGUGCCGUGAGGUGUCGGGUUAAGUCCCAUAACGAGCGCAACCCCUACCUUUAGUUGCCAUCAGGUUAAGCUGGGGACUCUAAAGGAACUGCCUACGCAAGUAGUGAGGAAGCGGGGAUGACGUCAAAUCAGCACGGCCCUUACGUCCAGGGCUACACACGUGCUACAAUGGCCGAUACAGAGGGCAGCUACCUGGUGACAGGAUGCAAAUCUCCAAAGUCGGUCUCAGUUCGGAUCGGAGUCUGCAACCCGACUCCGUGAAGUUGGAAUCGCUAGUAAUCGCGCAUCAGCCAUGGCGCGGUGAAUACGUUCCCGGGCCUU